RNAcentral lists this ribosomal RNA (253 nucleotides) under uncultured bacterium. RNAcentral describes it as "partial 16S ribosomal RNA". It matches the Rfam family "Bacterial small subunit ribosomal RNA", at positions 524 to 776 of the family's 1533-position model. The record is from RNAcentral.
UACAGAGGUCCCGAGCGUUGUUCGGAUUCACUGGGCGUAAAGGGUGCGUAGGCGGUCGGAUAAGUUUGAUGUGAAAUCUCCGGGCUUAACCCGGAAACUGCAUUGAAUACUAUUCGGCUUGAGGUCUGGAGGGGGGACUGGAAUUCUCGGUGUAGCAGUGAAAUGCGUAGAUAUGCGGAGGAACACCGAUGGCGAAGGCAAUCCCCUGGGCCUGCACUGACGCUCAUGCACGAAAGCGUGGGGAGCAAACAGG